RNAcentral lists this ribosomal RNA (366 nucleotides) under uncultured bacterium. RNAcentral describes it as "bacterial SSU rRNA". It matches the Rfam family "Bacterial small subunit ribosomal RNA", at positions 28 to 402 of the family's 1533-position model. The record is from RNAcentral.
GACGAACGCUGGCGGCGUGCUUAACACAUGCAAGUCACGGGGGGCCCGCAAGGGUCAACCGGCGAACGGGUGCGUAACACGUGAGCGACCUGCCCAAUUGCGGGGGAUAGCCGGCCCAACGGCCGGGUAAUACCGCAUACGCUUCCCUGGGGGCAUUCUUGGGGAAGGAAACCUACGGGGCGAUUGGAGGGGCUCGCGGCCUAUCAGCUAGUUGGCGAGGUAACGGCUCACCAAGGCGAUGACGGGUAGCUGGUCUGAGAGGAUGGCCAGCCACAUUGGGACUGAGAGACGGCCCAGACUCCUACGGGAGGCAGCAGUGGGGAAUCUUGCGCAAUGGCCGAAAGGCUGACGGCAGCGACGCCGCGU